GACGAACGCUGGCGGCGUGCUUAACACAUGCAAGUCGAACGGAAAGGCCCUGCUUUUGUGGGGUGCUCGAGUGGCGAACGGGUGAGUAACACGUGUGUAACCUGCCCCUGACUUUGGGAUAACUUCAGGAAACUGGGGCUAAUACCGGAUAGGAUCUCCUGCUGCAUGGUGGGGGUUGGAAAGAUUCGGCGGUUGGGGAUGGACUCGCGGCUUAUCCGCUUGUUGGUGGGGUAGUUGUAUACCACGGCUUUGACGGGUAGCCGGCCUGGGAGGUUGACCGGCCACAUGGGGACUGAGAUAGGGCCCAGACUGCUACGGGAGGCAGCAGUGGGGAGUAUUGCACAGUGGGCGGAAGCCUGAUGCAGCAACCCCGGGUGCGGGAUGACGGGCUUCGGGGUGUAAACCGCUUUCGCCGGUGACGAAGCGUGAGUGACGGUAAUGGGUAAAAAAGCAACGGCUAACUACGUG
Molecule: ribosomal RNA, 468 nt
Filed under: uncultured bacterium
Lineage: Bacteria
Description: partial 16S ribosomal RNA
Rfam family: Bacterial small subunit ribosomal RNA
Source: RNAcentral